This 532-nucleotide long non-coding RNA is filed under the name Erythranthe guttata (spotted monkey flower). RNAcentral's name for it is "long non-coding RNA (EGUT_LNC003646)". Lineage: Eukaryota; Viridiplantae; Streptophyta; Magnoliopsida; Lamiales; Phrymaceae. The record is from RNAcentral.
CACCCUCCCACCCAAAGUCCUAACUCGCAGCACUCAUCCACCAUUUCUCCACCCGGCGCCGCUUCUGCUCCGCCGCUGCUCACCACCAUCUCACCUCUCCUUCACCACCACACCAUCUUCUCUAGAUCCGCCGCCCACUAAUCAAUUUUAGUUUAUUGAAAAUUUAGUUUCUACCAAUAAAUUUUAGGCGGGCCUCAAACCUUCCCCAAUCUCCAAUUUUGACGGCGGUGGUGGCGAUAAGGAAGAGCAAGAGAAGAGAAAAGAACAAAGAGACGCAAUUUUUGGACCUAGCAGGUUUGACCGUUAUCAAUGUCGCCGCCGUCGUCGAGAGAAAUUGCUUGGACAUGUUAGAUAGGCUAUUGCUGUAAUUGGGACUGGGUUAGCCUCGGGUUGUACGGAUUCGGGUUUGGUUUGGAGAUUGUAGAAGAUGAGGUGUGGUGGUGCUGACCUUCUUCUCUUUCUCUUGUUGGGGUUUUGGGGUGGGGAACGGGGAAGAAGACCGUUCUUCUGUCUUCUCUUUUUGUUUUUUUUU